GCUGAGUCUCAGCAAUAAAAGUGAUGAAAAACUUUUUAAAUCAUAAAAGAUAGUAGAUUUUAUUCUCUACUUGACUCUUUUAAUGGAUUGCUUGGCCGCUGCAGUUAAACUUGAUGUCUAUUGUAUUUUAUCAGUUUAACAUUGUUGGAGACUAAUGAUAAUUUAUUCUGUAUUAUCUUAGUCAUAAUAUUUCUUGCUGGGCUAGUUGAGCUCACCCUUUCUUUUACUGUUCUCUUCAAGAAAUGAGAACGUAGCUGGGACAAGUCG
This 267-nucleotide long non-coding RNA is filed under the name Panax ginseng (ginseng). RNAcentral's name for it is "long non-coding RNA (PGIN_LNC016852)". Lineage: Eukaryota; Viridiplantae; Streptophyta; Magnoliopsida; Apiales; Araliaceae. The record is from RNAcentral.